RNAcentral lists this ribosomal RNA (582 nucleotides) under uncultured bacterium. RNAcentral's name for it is "bacterial SSU rRNA". It matches the Rfam family "Bacterial small subunit ribosomal RNA", at positions 397 to 970 of the family's 1533-position model. The record is from RNAcentral.
CCGCGUGUGUGAAGAAGGCCUUAGGGUUGUAAAGCACUUUCAAUUGGGAAGGAAAACCUCAGGGUUAAUACCCNCUGAGCUUGACAUUACCUUUAGAAGAAGCACCGGCUAACUCCGUGCCAGCAGCCGCGGUAAUACGGAGGGUGCAAGCGUUAAUCGGAAUUACUGGGCGUAAAGCGUGCGUAGGCGGCUUUGUAAGCCAGAUGUGAAAGCCCUGGGCUUAACCUGGGAACUGCAUUUGGAACUGCAAAGCUAGAGUUUGGAAGAGGAGAGUGGAAUUUCAGGUGUAGCGGUGAAAUGCGUAGAGAUCUGAAGGAACAUCAGUGGCGAAGGCGACUCUCUGGUCUAAAACUGACGCUGAGGUACGAAAGCGUGGGUAGCAAACAGGAUUAGAUACCCUGGUAGUCCACGCCGUAAACGAUGUCAACUAGCCGUUGGCCCUCUAUGAGAGUUAGUGGCGCAGCUAACGCAUUAAGUUGACCGCCUGGGGAGUACGGCCGCAAGGUUAAAACUCAAAUGAAUUGACGGGGGCCCGCACAAGCGGUGGAGCAUGUGGUUUAAUUCGAUGCAACGCGAAGAAAC